GACGAACGCUGGCGGCGUGCUUAACACAUGCCAGUCGAACGGAAAGGCCCUGCUUUUGUGGGGUGCUCGAGUGGCGAACGGGUGAGUAACACGUGAGUAACCUGCCCUUGACUUUGGGAUAACUUCAGGAAACUGGGGCUAAUACCGGAUAGGAGCUCCUGCUGCAUGGUGGGGGUUGGAAAGUUUCGGCGGUUGGGGAUGGACUCGCGGCUUAUCAGCUUGUUGGUGGGGUAGUGGCUUACCAAGGCUUUGACGGGUAGCCGGCCUGAGAGGGUGACCGGCCACAAUGGGACUGAGAUACGGCCCAGACUCCUACGGGAGGCAGCAGUGGGGAAUAUUGCACAGUGGGCGGAAGCCUGAUGCAGCAACGCCGCGUGCGGGAUGACGGCCUUCGGGUUGUAAACCGCUUUCGCCUGUGACGAAGCGUGAGUGACGGUAAUGGGUAAAGAAGCACCGGCUAACUACGUG
Molecule: ribosomal RNA, 468 nt
Filed under: uncultured bacterium
Lineage: Bacteria
Description: partial 16S ribosomal RNA
Rfam family: Bacterial small subunit ribosomal RNA
Source: RNAcentral